GUGGUUUUCUGAAUCUAGCUCUGUUAGAUUUCAGAAAUUCUCCUGGAGAAGGAACUGCCUUUACAGACCAGCUACUGAAGGGGAGAAGAACUCAGAACCUUACAGAAGCCUUUCUGUUGCUGUCAGCACCUCUUUAAUUGUAUAAAAUAAUGGCAACUGCUGGUAGUGAGGCACAUAAUCCUCUGGAACCUGAAAUCCCAAAGCUACAGUUUGUUCCCUUCACCAGUGCCUUGGAUGCGGGAUUCUGGCAUGAGCUGACACAGAAGAAACUCAAUGAGUAUAGAUUAGAUGAGACUCCGAAAGGUAUCAAAGGCUACUAUUAUAAUGGUGAUCCUUUUGGUCUACCAGCUCGUUUAACAUUGGAGUUUAGUGCCUUUGAUGUGAAUGCUGCCACCCCAGCACACUGCUGUCCUGCUGUUGGAACGUUAUAUAACACCAACACUUUUGAAUCUUUCAAAUCCUGUGAUAAGAAGUCACUUUUGGAAAAAGCAGCAAAUGAGAUAUGGGAGACGAUAAAAUCGGGGACUGCCCUUGAAAACCCCAUGCUCUUGAACAAAUUCCUGCUUCUGACUUUCGCAGAUUUAAAAAAGUAUCGCUUCUAUUACUGGUUUUGCUACCCUGCUCUCUGCUUCCCUGAUGGCAUACCUAUUGUUCAGCAGGCAGUCUGCCUAGGUGAAAGGUUCUCUCCAACUCAGAUUCAAGCGCUCCAGAAAGCAUAUGAUGAACUUUGCCAGAUGGAAGGAGUUACAGCCUUGCCUUACUUUUUAAUCAAGUAUAAUGACAAGUCUGUUUUGGUGUCACUGCUUAAAAACUGGAAUGAUUUUUUCCAAGAUCAAGAAGAAAAGGUGACAGUUGGAGUUUAUGAUCCCUGCAAUUUUACCCAGUAUCCAGGAUGGCCGCUGCGGAACUUACUGGUCAUGGUAGCACACAAAUGGGGUUGCCACCUCCAUUCAGUUGAAGUGCUCUGCUUCAGAGACAGGACCAUGCAAGGCGUGAGAGACCUAACACACAGCAGCAUCUUUGAAAUAAAGCUUCCACAGAUGCCAAAGAGCCCAGUAGAUUGUCCAAAAGCUGUUGGAUGGGAGAAAAACCAAAAAGGAGGCAUGGGUCCAAGAAUGGUGAAUCUCAGCGAAUGUAUGGAUCCUAAAAGGUUAGCUGAGUCAUCUGUGGAUCUUAAUCUUAAAUUGAUGUGCUGGCGGUUGGUGCCUACUCUUGACCUGGAGAAAGUUGUGUCUUCUAAGUGUCUGCUGCUAGGAGCUGGUACACUGGGUUGUUGUGUAGCCAGAACCUUAAUGGGAUGGGGAGUCAGACAGAUCACAUUUGUGGACAAUGCAAAAAUCUCCUAUUCCAACCCUGUACGGCAGCCUCUGUACGAGUUUGAAGACUGUCUUGAUGGUGGGAAGCCUAAGGCACUUGCGGCAGCAGACAGACUGCAAAAAAUAUUCCCAGGAGUGAAUGCAGAAGGAUUUAACAUGAGCAUCCCCAUGCCAGGUCACCCCGUAAAUUUUUCUGAAGUCACCAUGGAACAGGCUCGAAAGGAUGUGGCUCAUCUUGAACGUCUCAUUGAUGCUCAUGAUAUUAUUUUCCUGUUAAUGGACACUAGGGAAAGUCGCUGGCUUCCUGCUGUCGUUGCAGCCAGCAAGAGGAAGCUGGUCAUCAAUGCUGCGUUGGGAUUUGACACAUUUGUUGUGAUGAGACAUGGACUAAAGAAACCAAAGCAGCAGGAGUCUGGUGAUUCAUGUUCCAACAAUGCCUCCUGCUCUGCUGAUCUCCUGGGAUCAUCGCUCUUUUCAAACAUCCCUGGCUAUAAACUUGGCUGCUACUUCUGCAAUGAUGUUGUAGCACCGGGGGAUUCCACCAGGGAUCGGACAUUGGAUCAGCAGUGCACAGUUAGUCGACCAGGAUUAGCAAUGAUAGCCGGAGCCCUUGCAGUAGAGCUAAUGGCUUCAGUUUUACAGCAUCCAGAAGGUGGUUAUGCUGUUGCUAGCAGCAGUGAUGACAGAAUGAAUGAACCACCUACCUCUCUUGGGCUUGUGCCUCAUCAGAUUCGUGGCUUUUUAUCAAGAUUUGAUAAUGUCCUUCCUGUCAGCCUUGCAUUUGACAAGUGCACAGCCUGCUCUCCCAAAGUCCUUGACCAGUAUGAAAGAGAGGGGUUUAAUUUCCUUGCAAAAGUUUUUAAUUCCUCACAUUCCUUCUUAGAAGAUCUAACAGGUCUGACUUUAUUACAUCAGGAAACUCAAGAUGCUGAGAUUUGGGACAUGAGUGAUGAUGAAACAGUCUGAAAACCAAAUGAAUGAAGUGGAAGAUGACCUGCUUUAGGCUGCAGUGAUGUCUUUUAUCCAUCAUUUGACAAGUUAAUGAUUGCUUACACAUUUUGAUUUACAAAUAUAAACAAAUAUAAUCUACAUCUGUGCUAUGAAUGGGACAUUAUCUUGAACUAAAAUAAUAGUUCUACUGUGGAUGUAAUUCUCCCCUGCUUUUCAUUUUUAUCCUAUGCAUGAGAUAACUAUCUUGCUAGAGCAAUGUGGUUAUGUUUAAAUCCCCUUUCUAUUUUUUUUUUCAGUUUCUAAACAUAGCUUACAUAUAAAAUAUGCCACUUUAAAUAGCCUUUGAUGUUUUCAUUUGCCCCAGUUUUCAUUUUACUUGUCAAUAUAUAGGCCUAAAUAACAUUGUAUUUUUCAUGUUUCAAUGAUUUGUGGCAUUUUAUAAGUAUUUAAUACUCAGGCUAUAAGAAAAUUCCCCUAUAGAUGGGAAUUAAAUCACAUUGUUAUUUAAGGGAAUGGGGAAAAGGUAACCGAACAUCCACCUACGCAUUUUUAGUGUGUUAGAUCAUGUUGUAACAUGCUAGCCCCCCUCCUUAUUAUAAUGGAGUUGGUCUUGCAUGUGCAGAUGGGAACAGACAAAGCUUCAGAAUCUUCUUAGAGUCCUGUAAAAGACUUGAGCUUUAGCAUGAUUCCACACUGUGGAUAAAGCAUCAUUUGACAUUGCCUACCUAGUGAAGACCAAACUCUGUUUAUAUCCUGAUUAGGGACUAUCAUGCUUAUAGCAAGAUCCAUUACACAGUGAAAAUUGUUUUGAAGUUAGGUCCUUAGCUAGAUAAAAGUGUAUAAUGUAAUUGUUUUUAUAUAUAUAUAUAUAUAUAUAUAUAUAUAUAUAUAUAUAUAUAUAUAUAUAUAUAUAUAAAGGCAGUGGUUCUCCAGCUUUGUCAUUCUUAAAUCCCACCACCUAGCAUGUUCGUGGACACCAAAACAGUCCUAACUCUAAUCUUCCAUUGGAGGCAUCUGAAAUGUUCCAUUCUUGCUGGUGCACAAAAUCAUAGUUUGAGAACCACAGAGAAAAAGUAUAAUUUAUGAAACUCAAAAUUUUAAAAUAUCAAGUGUAUUACUACUCUAAAUGUAAAGAGAAAUAUAUCUAUUGUUUUGCAUCUUGAAAUAACUAAAAACAAAAAAAAAUUGUUUUAAGCCUCUUUUACAGCUUAAAUCUGGUUAUUUGCAUUGUUUCAUUCAUGAGGAAAAAUAGAAACUGCAUUAUUGUUUGUUGUCUUCCAACCAUUCUUUCCUUUGCAUAUAAAACCAUUCUGUCCUUAGUCUUAAGAAAAGGUAAAGCAAUCCAUCCAAUUAGUCAGUCUGUCAAAUGAACUUGUGUUCUUCCUCUACCUUUAAUUAAGUUCCAAGUCCCUGAAUGUAGAAGUCAAAUCAACUUGUUCAUUUGCCUGCUAAGCUGACAUACCAUUUGGGGGGAAGUUCUUUUAGGGUCAUUUUACCCAUGAGGGUCAGUUCACUCAAUUAUGAACAUAAGUGACGUUUUAAUGAAACACAGCGCCCUCUUCAUGGGAUGUCUAAAAUGUUAUCUCCUCUUAUGCAAACUUACAUUUUUUUCAAAUAACCAUAAACGAAUGUCUCAGCUAACUAAUGCCAGUGUAGUAUCAAAUAUAUUCUAUUAAUCUAGCUAUAAAGUAAGUUAUUGAGUCAUACUUAUAUACACACACACACACACAUAUCUGAUAUCUUGACUGUUUGAUCAUGAACAGUGACGCUGGGAAAUUGCAGCUUCCAUUGGUAUGCGUGGGAAAGUAUGGUCUUUCGAUGAACAUGAACUAACAAAAUACAUAUUCUAAGGUUAUUUAUAAGUCCCUGAUUCUCAUGCAUUCGAAGGAGCUGUAAUUUUUGUAGUCUGGCUGUCAUCAGACUGGAGUUUGGGCUAGGAAGUAUCAGUAUGAUGGCAGUUUGCAUAGAGAGACCAGCAUCUACAUCAUUCAUAGUUACAGAGAUUGUGAAAAGGAAAAAUCUAGUUUGAAAUUGAGCAGACUUGAUUAUCUGAAACUCCAAAAAGGGUCAUGUCGUCCCCCCCCCCCCCCCCCCCCCCAGGUUUUAUUAAUAAAAUUGAAGAUUCCCUCAAUUAUCUGAAACUAUGAUUGUCCAAAUAAAGUUGUACUGUAUUUUUAGGUAGUAAGUAUCCCUUUAACUAUUGAAGUAUAAAGAUCUAAAACUCAGGGUUAAUAUGACAUUUCCUUACCUCUGUAAUUUCAGUAACGUACAACUGUGUCAGACUGUGCUUCUUCCUGAACAUACGCUUCCCAGAUGUGUCUGAUGUUCCAAAACACUCCAGUUUGACUUGGAAAAACUUCCGUUGUCUAACUUUACUGUUUUCUUUCUCCCUGAAAACCAAAAUUGUUCUUAUUUUGCUUCUAAAAUGUUUUAAGCAUUUACUGAGGAGGGAAAUUGUGAAAACAUAUAUUCACAUGAAUGAAAACAUAUAUUAAAAUAGUAUAAGCAGCUAAGUACUGUUAUUUACUGACUUGUACACACUAGCAGCAUGGUUUUGGCAUAGCUCUCCCAUCUGCUGCUGCUGCUGCUAAAUGGAGGAAGUUGAAAUUUGAACUUCAUGCAGGGAGUGGGAGGGUUAAUUUUAUUUUUGCUGGAAUGAGCUCAUAGGCAAUGAAAGGGCAAAAUUCAUCCCUUCAUUCUACAGGCCAACAGCCCACCCUUCCUUUAGGACAUUUACGCAGUCUGGCUGGGGUGGUAGAAUGUGUAGCUUCCUCUGAGGUUGCUGUUAUUACCUCUUCACAAAACAUCUAAUGUAAACAUAGUGAGAUCAUAAGGCAGUGCAGGCAGCACCCUAGAGAGCAACUGUGCCAUCUGCACAACACAUCUGAGGCCAAAUUUAAUUCUGUUGUAACUCCACUGACUUCUGUAGAGAUUCAUCAGAUAUGAAUUUGGCCCUCGGAGAAUUAACAUCUGAAAAUUGUAGCCUAGAUCUCACUUUCAGACAUCACCAACUAAAGAUAAUUUUUUGUUGGUACCACCCUGUCAAAGAUGUAUUUGCUGGGUACAGUCAAAAUGCUAUCCUGUCUUAAUAAUACAUUAAUGAAAAGGAGAAACCUGAUAUUUUCCGUUUCAGAGUACAUUUUGGACACAACCUAUUUUAAGUUAUGGCUAAACCUACACCCAUCAGGUUAAUUCAGAGUGCUGUAAUCCCAAUUUCAUGAUUUGCUGCUGUUCGUGCACUUGCCAUAUGUGUUUGUAAUCUGUGUUUUAGGAGUGAAAUUUACCCACUAGGGCAGAUCUUCAGCCGGUAUAAACUGUCAUAGCUCCACUGAAGUUAGUGGAGAUGUGACCACUUGAACCAGCUGAGAAUCUGCCGCAUGGGACUAGCUCAGGGCCCUUCACAUGGCGACAUUGCCAUAAUAAAUAAGGGCACAAAUACAACGUGGGGACAAAUAAAAGAACCUCUUUGCACUGUGGAAAGACUCUCCGUGCCAGCUUCCAUAGGCUGGCCUGAAAAAACACAAAGGAAUGGGCCCACAGGGUCUAUGUUCACACAAAUCCAGUGGCCCCAAGAUCUAGGAUGAAAUCCUAGCUUCACUGAAAUCAAUGACAAAACUCUCAUUAACAGAAUUUUCACUCCCAGUGCACCUGUGGCAGAGGGGCUCUGGCUGCUAUCCCUGCCCAUGGGCUUAUGUGAGCUGAGGAAGGUAGGUUUCAACGCCCUCUGCUUCCUGCCUGUAUAGAGCCUGGUUACCCAUACCUCUAUGCAGGAGGGAGGGAUUUGACCCUGAGUGAACUCCAGUGCUAUAAACUGACAUAUCCUUUUUGCUGGUUUUGACACUCUUGUUCCUCUUCUUUCACUGUGCCCUUUCUAAAUAAAUCUUCUGUGUGUAAAGAUUGACUAUAUUCACCUUUCAUCUGAGAUGCAAGUACCAUUAAUGGAAUAUAGCAAUAUGUUAUAUAUUUCUUCCCCAUCCAUCCUACUUGCCUGUUAAUUUUUAAAUAACUAUUAUUGGUGUGGGGGGGGGGUUGGACAUAACAAAAAUUUAACAUACAUAGUAGAAUCCUCUUGUAGUGACAUAAUUUUUUCCCCUCACAGAAUAACUUCACUCUAGGUUUAGCUAGAAUUGCAAUUUGCACAUUGCAAUACAUUGAAAUAGUGGAUCAUAGGGCUACUUCACUUUGAAGAGUUUCCCUAUUUCCAGCUUCCCGGUGAGCUCCAUUGCACUUCCUCCUGCUCCAUCCACCACACAUCAAAGCAUGUGAGAGUGCUAAGGAAUCAAAUCCAUAGAAUGUACAAUUAGCUUUAAUUUCCUAAGGCAGAAAAGGAUCUUCAAUUACGGUUUUCUGCUCUGAAAAGUGGCACCUUCUUCUUCAACUGAUCUGCUCUUUCUGUGUCUAUAGCUUUAUGUCAGCACUAGUGACAAAGAUAAGUUUUUACUCUGGCUAACGCUGCAGCUCCACCACUACUUCAAAAAUAUGAAUUGAAUUCAGUUGUUAACCAGGUUCCAAUUUCAGAGGCAGAUUCUUCCCAUAAGGACACCUGUGCAACUCUUUUGAAGUCCAUCAAGGUGCACAGGUGUCACUGAGGGCAGAGUCUGUAUACAAUAAAAUUACUAAGAUAUGACCAAAGGCAGAUUUUGAAAUGAUAGGAUUGCUCAAUUGUAACUGAGUUCAGAAUUUGGUUAUAGAACCUCUAUUAAUGGCAAUAAUAUAUGAAAAAAUCUGUAAGAUCCCAGGAGAUAUUUCCAGAGUUGGUGAGCUUGGAAAAAACCUGACCACAUUUGCAGUGGAAUCACUGAGAUCCAUAAAGAUUGAUCAAUGGUCCAACAGAGCCUUUUUUACAUAGCCGUUUUUCAGAGUAUAGCCACGUUUUUAAGUGUUCAAACCUAAUUUAGUCUCCUCUCAGUUAUUAGGGGGACAGAAGGGAUAGGUCACAUUCUUUCAAAAAUAAAUGUGUUCCCAAUAAAAAUAUAAUUGACCUUUCUUCUCAUUCUGCCAAUAUAAAAGAGAUGUUUCUAUUCUAUAUAUAGAAAAAGAAACACAUUUCUCUAUCAUGGGUGCAAGUAGCCAUUCAGUUACCUUCCGUUGAUUCAAAGUUUGCUACACUAUAUCUUCAUGUGUUAGGAGCACCUCAGAAGGUAAAGAAGGAAUAAACACUGUGAUGUGUAUUUUUCUUGAUGCAUUAUCUGUAUUUUAAAAUCUAACAUUUUUUUUAAUGCAAUAGUUUGCUUAGAGACAAAUAAGGAGCCAUAGUCCAAGGAAAGCAAUUAAAGAAACAUGGGAAGGAUGGUAAACAAGAGCAGGCUUGCUAAGAAAUAUACUCUGCAAGACUUCCCUAGUCCAUUAUCAUUUCUGUCCAAAUCUUUUGACAAGGAUGGGAUCCUCAGCUGUUUUGUUUUUCAACAUUUUCCAACUUCAUUGCAGAGGUUAUUGUCCUUGGGGAAAAUCCUGCCAAAUGAUAAUGAAAUUUCCUGUCUAGGAGACUUCUUGCACCUUCUUCUGAAGCAUCUGGUGCUGGCCAUUGUUUGAGACAGGAUUCUGGACUUAGAUGGACCUUGCGUCUGAUCCAGUCUGGCAAUUCCUAUCUUCCUAAUCAAUGGAGACCAAAUCUAGAUGUCCCAUUCUGAUACCAGGUCUCUUUAUUUUUUCCUGCAGCUGAUCAGAAUCUCUGUGGAGGCUUAGUAGGGUUUAAAAAUACCAUGGUGCUACAUGUACGUGUGAUGCAUCUUUCCAAAUCAGUACAGGGUUUCUCUGCCUUACUUCAGGAAUUCAGCAUGAUCAUUAAAAAGAAUUGCAUAUUUAUUUUCUCAUUUGUGCAGCAUGUUCAACUACUGAAAUGAAAAUAUCAUAUUCCGUGGAGAACGCACCUUCAUCCAUUAUCCUUAGUAUUACCAACCUUUGGCCCCUUGCCAUGGACAAUGACUAAUCUUCCAAAUCUUUUUGGACUUGUUUUAAGCAUUGAGUCACUGAGACAUUGGCCCAGAUAGCUCUUGUGGACCUCUCUACUUUGUGGCAACACUAACUGCUUGACUAAGAUAGGCAUUUUAAUUGUUAUUUUAAAUAAAAUACUAAAAAUAAAGAUCCCUAAUUAAAAUAUGUUGAGUAAUCUAACAGAAAUGCCAAUAACACAUGCAUAAUGCUGUAUUGCUAAGCAAAUGUGUGAUCUUGAUUUGUAUCCUUUCUCUUCCCGUCACACUCCCUUACUCUACCUUCUGUUUUCCUCUUCUUUAGUUGUGCCAUGUCGCUGUUUAGUCUCCUAUCUUGCAAAAACUUAAUCAAGUGAUUAACUUUAACUUACCUUUGCAGGAUCAGGACCUUAGAUUAUGAGCUCUCUGGGGAAGGGGGCAAGUCCUUUGAAUUUUUUGUGAAGCACUUUGCCCGCUUUUAGGCACUAUGUAAAGAAUAAUAGGAAGAAUGAAAUCCAAUCUCGUUCUCACAGACCAGGUCAGUAAUGUUUCCUUCCCCCUCUUCCCCGCCCCCUUCUCUUGGACUUAGUAUUGUGUGAACUGUCUUAUUUAACUUUGAUUCAUGCAUCCCUGCCAAGAGUAGACAGUGCUGCAGGAAGCUAAUUGGUGUGCCUGAAGGUGCAGGAUGGCUUCUCAUUGCUCUAGUUUCCAAAUCAAACCGGUAUGGGCUGGAUGUGGGUGUGGAGGAACACAUCAGGAACUGAUCCCAGCUAAUGGAAACAUGCCUAAUGUAAGAACUGAGUGGUUCCAAAACCAGUUCAACCUUGGUGGAAAUUAACCUUUAGAUUGUGUUUUGACAGCUUGCACACUGAUGCCCAGUUACUUCACUUUUUUCCUCAGUGAUUACUGGGUUGAAGCAGUGUCCGUUCAUUGAGGGUAAAAUAUGAAUGAACGUGUGUGGGGGGGGAAAUAUUAAUAACCUACAUUUAUAUUUUAGCCACAUCCCCCUCCCAAAUUAGUGCAAAUGGAGAGUAAAGGGAUUCUCUUAAAUAGAUUUGUUUGGUUUGCAUGUCCUUUUUUAAAAAAAUUGUACAUAUUUUUAACUCUCUGAAGUCUCCCUCUUAAACAGUAGUUCUGUAGGAGUUGCCACUUCCUCAGGAAUCUAUGACUCAGAGAGUGUAUAAAUAAAAUGACAUCACUGCCAAGCUUUGUUUGUAUUGCCCAUUUCCUAAAUGGAGACUCUGUUGUUCUAACUUUAAUGCUUGCAUCAGUUGUUGUUGGUUUUUUAAAUAGUAAAAGCAUCCUUGCCAACACUGACUAAUACAUGUUCAGUGCAAUUAUCUUUUUGAAUCCUUUAAAUCACCUAUUUUGAAGUUCAUUUAAAGCAGUAGACAUCAUACUUUAAUUCAAGAUAUUAUUCAUGACGAAAAUAAUUGUAACAUACAAGAUAUUGUUGUUACAAAGUAUUCCUAAUAUACUGUCAAUGUGCAAUGGAGGAAACAGCUGAGAGUGUGCGCAUAAUUUUUUUCCAUUAUUAUUCUAACAAACAAUGAAAAGAAAAACAAUUGUGUCUUCUGAAACAACUUAUUUUUACCAUGGAAAACAGGCAAUAGGUCUCUCUGGAGGAGAAGUGUCAUCCAGUAGGUAGAGGCUUUCACUUUUUAUGUCCCAUACUUUAGCUUCCCAUUCAAAUAUUUGUAAAUAUUUCUACCCCCCUGCUCCCAAUGAGCAUGUAGCCUCAAACCACUGAAGGGUAAGAGUUAGAUCCCAAUUGUAUUUUUCCUGAAAGCAACACUUUUCAGUUAGAACUGCCUUUUAAUACACCAUUGACAUAGAUAGACCCAAAAUACAUCCUACUUCUUUGUUGGGACUCACAGGUGCACCGAGGAAAUGAGCUGUUCUCCCGUGGGAUUCCUGUCUGCUGCAUUCUUCUGAGCUCAAGGCCAAAUCUGCACUUCCUAGGCAAAAUGCCCUGUGACACCACUGCAGAAUGUGGCCAUCAGACUAUCAAGGGCAAUUUGCUCAUUGUGAAGAGUUAGAUUGCUUGUCCAGGUCAUUUUAUUCACUGCUUUCAGGAAAGAGCAUGUUGCACUGGAGUAACAUGCAGUGAUUUUUGUUGUAGAGUAAUGAAGCAGUGUUUCUUUGUUUAAACAGCAGCAAAUAAUGCUAUUCCAGGAAUAGAUGGACUUCAGUAAGGCAGAGUCUGUAGCUAUAUCCUCUGACUGUCCUCUGAUUAUGUCAGUUCUCACCAACUAGGAAGGGCUAGCCUGGUUAGAGCUUAAUAGGUGACCUCCAAAGAAAGCCCAGGUGCUCCUAGGUGGUGAUCUUUCUUCUGAGUGAGUACCUUACUCAGUACCUUACCAAACCCUGGCACAGUGUUAGGAAGAAUUGUGCUGUCACAGCAGUUAUCUUUCAGAUGAGAAACAAAACAGAGGACCUAAAAAGAUCCCCUAACACCUUCUGUAAUGUAAGGGGGAUUUGUCAAUCCUGGUGUCCUAGCCAGGUUCAUUUUGGGCAAUUUCAUUGUCUACCCGAAUUGCUGGUGCAGUUUCCCCGGUGUUCUUUGCUGUCUGUCAGACUAUCAUGUAGGGUUCCUAUGUUGUUAACAGAAAAAUAUCUUAACAAUCUUAAUUCAAACUGCUGCAUUCCACUCCAAAGGUGACUGUUUUUCAGUGAUUGUUGAAGCAAUAGUAGUAUAUUGUCAUUUGUACUGUGCUUUAGUGUCCUUUGAGAUGAUAGGUGCUAGAUAAAUGUAGUAAUCUGAUUAUAGUUUGGUCACACAGAUAUGAAAUAGUGCUACAUAUUUUCUGUUCCAAAUCAGUUGGGUAGUUUAGAUUGCUAUCAUACAGCCAGGUUAAACUCUAAUCAUACAUUUCCUUAAUUUGUACAUGAGCAUAACCUAUCUUCUUCCCAGGCAUUUAUUGCAGGGUAGUGCUCACUGGAAAUAUCUUCUCAUUCCACCCUUGGAUAAGCACCCUAGAAAGUUCACUGGAAAGGAAGAUGUGCCUUGACAAGGACAAGGAGGUUUUAUUAUGUAUUAAUGUGAGCAGAGGUUGCUCUUGCAUGUUGGGCUUCUGAGCCUCAGCAUUUGUGAUUUUAUGUACAGUAGCAUGUCAGUUUGUGGAAUGAAUGAAUGAUGUCAAUUUUGCAGUAUUAAAUCUACCAGGGAACCAGUAUAUGGAAUCCAGUCAAAAUACUAUUGCUGACGCAGUGAUGUACACCAUGCAUAACUAGUGCUUUCACAAAUCCUAGCAGUAGAGUACUCUAGUUUCUUAAGCACUGUACUGCAUUGAGUGGGAAUGCAAUUGCAUCAACCCCCUCAGAUCCAGCUUGACAGACUUAAAAUAAGCUUCUUGGAAAUUGCUUGUUCUUGUUUGUAGGGAUGAGAAGGAGAACAAGUCAAAUUAUGCUCACGUGAUAAAAUUAUGUUGUGUACAAAUAGAGUUUGCCAGUGUUGCUGUUGAUGUUCUAGCACUUACCGACAAGUGAGAGUAUCUGUUACUUUAGUCAGCUGCCUCAUAGAAUGGUAGCAGCUGUAAAUCAUGCAUAGAAUCUGAUGGGGACUAGUGUCAAGCACCUGGAUGCCUAAAAAUGACUUGGAAAUGGAGAUGGAAAUAUAUAUUAACUUGAGAUGCUGAAAAUGAAUGUGAUGUAAAUGUCAUCUGUAUCUUGCAUGUAGGAGGCAAUCAGUCUUCCCACUAUGACAAACAGUGUUGUGCAUUGUUUUUAACCAUGACCUAAUAAGAUUUAGUCAUUAUAUUGUUGUUCAGUGUUUCUGAUCUCCUGAAUGAUUGUGACUUCAGAAAAUUUCUCAAUCAAGCUAUUGUACACGGGUAUUAACAGUUUUGAGAUAAUAUGAAUUGUUCAUUUCUGUGACUUCUAAAGAUAUAUUUGUAUCCAAGGUAACUUUAUCGUCUCCAAAAGCUAUUACAGAGUUGGGGAGCCAGCAUGGCCCAAUGGAUAAGACACUGAACUGUGAGUAAGAGACUCUGCCUCCUGUUCCUGAUGCUGCCACUGACCUGCAGGCAAGUCACUUCACAUCACUGUUUCCCCAUCCAUUCUUUUUCUGUCUUGGGUUUUUAACUUGUAAGUUCUUUGGGGAAGAUACUGUCUCUCACUAUGAUUUUUAUAGAGUGCCUAGCACAAUGGUCCCCCAAUCUUUGUUGGGACAUCUAGACAUUACUGUAAUAUAAAUAAUAAUAGUAUAAAUAUCUCAUCUCUAACACAAGUCUAUUAAUGCCUUUUAAUUCACUUAUUUUGGCCAAGAUUUUCCAAAGUGACUAAUGAUAUUAGCCGUCUCAAUUUGUGAAUUCCCAACUUGAGACACCUUACAGGGUCUUGAUUUUCAGAAAGUGCUGCUGAGCACUCACCUAACGAAAACCAGCCUUCUUAAAAGGUGUCUCAAGUUGGGCACCUAAAAUCACUAGCCACUUUUGAAAAUCCUUGGCCUUCUAUUUUAUGUAGGGUGACCAGAUGUUCCGAUUUUAUAGGGACUGUCCCGAUAUUUGGGGCUUUGUCUUAUAUAGGUGCCAGUUACUCGCCCCCACCCCCCCGUCCUGAUUUUUCACCCUUGCUAUCUGGUCACCAUAAUUUUAUGGCUCAAAGAGGAGCAUGAUCUCAGAUUUGAAGACAGUCUUACCAUUUAGUAUGUAUUUUAAAAAUUGCAGUCUAUGUUUAAAAGAAGAUUGAAUAAAUGAAUCUACUGUUAACUUUUAAUAUUGAUUCUUGGUUUGUAUUGCCGUUUGUAUUGCUUGAGGUGUUCUAUUCUCUGGAUGAUGCUCUUUCUGGAGUGGUCAGGGAGCUACAAGUAACUAAUCAACUGAAAAACUGAGGAGCUGUAAUAGAAUUUUUGCUAGCCCUGAGUGUGUAAAAGUGCCACAAUGUAGACUGUCAUGUUGCUCAUCCAGGUUAUAUUUCCUACCAUCGUCAUCUUUAAAAUCGCUGAGUGUGUUGAACCUCUUAAAUGAUUGGGCCAAACUCAUCUCAAGGGUAAGUUGCUUCAACUCCCAUUAAAGUCUUUCGGAUAAAUUAAUUGAGGGUGUAAAUGUAAAUGUAACUUGCUCCAAUUUGGCAUUCACGUGAAGAACUAAUGUAUUUUCCAUGGCAAGGGGGCAGAAAGACUGCAGUGGGAAAGAUAACUAACAGGAGCUUAUAACAUCAAUCUCUCUUUCACAUGCCACACGUUAUUCCUACUCUGACUUCUGUUUCUUUUGCCACCUCUGCAUACACCUUACACUCAUUUUCCAUAGCGAGUGAAUGCCAAAUUGGUGCAAGUUACACCAAUUCAACACUUAUAUAUAUAUUUGACCCACUGAUAUCUCAUAUGUAACUUGCUUUGAAUUUAAAGCCACCAGUGAAUUUGGACCACUGGCCAAAUCGAUCCAUCUCCACUGACUUCAGUGGACUUAAGCCAAGGAUGAAUUUGGCCUAUGUUUUUUGAACAUGGGGGAAAUGUGUGGAGGUUUGCUGGAAAACGGUGCUUUUCAAACAAAGAAAUGCCCUUUCUAGCUAUUUUGGUCUGUGUUAGAGUUUUGAAACACUGUGCCCAGGAAAAAUGAACAGCCAAAGAAACCCUAUCUACAUAGAUCAGGGAAAGUGUUAGAACCUUGGAAGCAGCAACCUUGUGAGCCUGCCUGCUGUUAGCACAGUUUGCACAAACAUUAGAUGUUGUCUGCUCACAGAGAUUGAUCUGGUCUCACUGUAAAUCUGACAAAGAGAAGACAACUGAACUCGAGUCAAAGGUUUGAUUCUCAGAGUGAAAUCCUGGCCCCAUUAGCCAGGGUUUCAACUUCAGUAUCUAUAACCAAGCUAUGAAUUUUCACCAUCAAGUAAUUCAAAAUGGACUUGGAGAAAAUCUUGGCAUGGGGCUUCUCUUUAGGGUUCUUGUCCCUUCAAGUGAAAGAGCUGGGUCUCUCAGCAGGAGAAAGCUGGCAUGUUGACUUUGACAGUGACAAAGCAGAAGGACUAAGUAGCAAGAACAGAUGAAAACUGGUAUUUUCAAUGUAUUUUGGUGUUCCCCUUCUUUGUGGUUGAUCCAGAGGCCAGUACUUCCUCUCACCAAACAUAAACAUGCUUCCAAAACACCUGUAUCAAAUAUGUCUCUCCUCUGCUGCAAGUCAAAACAUCAAUUCUUUUUAUAUACCUAAAAUCUAAAUGAGCAACUUCAUAAAUUCCUGAAAGAUACAUUUGGCUUGUGGUAACUAUAAACAGUCUAUCACCUAACACAGCAUACAAGGAUCUAGUGCUUACAUUCGGAAAUUCACAUUCAUCAUCCUCACUUAACCUUUUCUCAGUCAGUCAGAGUUUUUUUUUAUAUAACUAUAUCAUUCUACAUUGUAUUUAUAUGAGGGAGAGAAUAAUAGUCCUUGAGUAAUGAUAUGUUGAAUGAUUGUUAGAUAAUUAACUACAAAGGUGUAAAUAAGGUGUGAUCAGCUGUAAUAUGUUGGAAUUCUUCAGAUUUUAUAGCAUAGCUGAUGGCUAAAUGUCCCCCAGUUAACCUUGUGAAAAAAAGAAAUAUGGAAGAAAUUGAUCUUCAUAAAAAUAUGCCUGAAAACAAAAUGGCCACUUAUUUGCCAAAGCAGUAAGGGGAACAACUUCUUUGAGUGAUGGUCCUGUCAGGGUUCCCUCCCCACUCUGAACUCUGGGGUAGAAAUGUGGGGACCCGCAUGAAAGACCCCGUAAGCUUAUUUCUACAAGCUUAGGUUAAAAAAUUCCCUAAGGCACAAAUUCUUCCUUGUCCUUGGAUGAGUGCUGCUGCCACCACCAAGUGAGUUAGACAAAGGUUCAGGAAAAGGAUCACCUGGAGUUCCUGUUUCCCCAAAAUAUCCCCCCAAGCUCCUUCACCCCCUUUCCUGGGGUGGCUUAAGAAUAAUCUACCAACCAGAUAGGUAAACAAGGUGAGCACAGACCAGCCCCUUGGGUUUUUAGGACACUAAAAACCAAUCAGAUUCUUUAAAAUAAAUAAAUAAAUAAAUAAAAAUUAAAAACACCAGAACUUUAUUAUAAAGAAAAAAAAGUAAAAGAAGCACUUCUGUAAAAUCAGGAUGGAAGGUAAUCUUACCGGGUAAUAAGAUUCAAAACACAGAGGAUUCCCCUCUAGGCAAAACUUCAGAGUUACAAAAACAGGGAUAAACCUUCCCUCUUAGCACAGGGAAAAUUCACAAGCUAAAACAAAAGAUACUCUAAUGCAUUUCCUUGCUAUUACUUACUAUUUCUGUAAUUUUAGAUGUAUCAUUCAGUAGGAGCUGGAUUACUUGCUUGGUCUCUCUCUGUCUCCCGAGAGAACAACAACCCAAAACAAAAACCUUCCCCCACAGAUUUGAAAGUAUCUUCUUCCCUUAUUGGUCCUUUUGGUCAGGUGCCAACCAGAUUAUCUGAGCUUCUUAACCCUUUACAGGUAAAGGAGGGAUUUUAUGCUACCCUUAGCUGUAUGUGUAUGAUCGGUCACUGUUGUGUUCUACUGAGGGUUAUGUGCAUCCACCCUCAGUGGAAUAUAGAUAGGGACUACACAUCUUGAAGAACCUCCAGUUACAGGCAAGUAACCACCUCUUCUCUCAAUGUGCGCACAAGAGCUAUCCAGAUUGAAAUCCUUCACUACCAGCAGGAGGCAUGGGUCUUCAAUGUACCCACUGAGAUUAUUUCUGGUGGAAGAGGCAUAUCACCAAAGUGCCAAGCACUUCUGGAAAUAAGGCCCUUUUUGCCUUAGGUUCAGUGUAUACGAUUUACCCUAAUCAGCUACUUCUUUCCCAGAGUUAUACACCCUAAAAGACAAAACUCCUAAUAAAGCCUUUCUGACCAACAGUAUAAUCUGCCUCACAGCCUCCACCAUAAUUGGAUCCCCACUAAUCUUUGGUCUUUCUUCCCUCUUCCAGCAGAAAGACAGGAGACAUAACGAAGGGGCGGAAAGGAAAGGAAAAAAGAAAAAACAUGACACAGAGAAGAAAGAGCCAGGAGAAAGAACAUCUGGAGAGGGUCAAGAAGGACAUCAGUCAUGAGAAUCAUUAUCUUCAGUCUUUGCCCCAGACACGAGGGACAGUGGACCAGGAGAUGGCCUAGCUGAAACCAGGGGCCUCAGUUUUGGAGUGGCAGUUUCCUGUAGUGCUAGAAGAUGCAGAUUAGAUCCUUGUUGAGGAAUGGUGGGAUUUGAAACCAAAAAUAAUGACAAGAAGCAGAUUCGUCUCAGCUGAGAAUGACUGGGCCAGCCCUGGGCAGUAUCUUUUUUGCAGACACACUUCCACUACAGCCUGAGCUGAAAUUUGUCUCAGUCUCUGAAGAACGUUAUUGAACAUCAGCAGGAUAUAUAUGCUGCAUGGAAAAAUGAGGUGCAAGAAGGACAGAGGUCUAGUAGGUCUGACUCCAUCUACCAGGGAAAGAUCCCAGUUUGAUCCAUUGUUCCCUUACUCCAACCCUAGAAAAGGUGAAACAAGGCCACAAAAGAAUGGUAUAUUUACAAACACGGAGAGAAUCUUUCAGACUGAACUGUAGCAGAUAACAUGGCUCUGUGAAGAAACUUCACUAUGCGUUGUUAUGGGAAAGAGCUUCAGAAAUGAUGAGCGCUGCCAGGUUUGCUGAAGGAACUGCAAUUAAAAAGCCUAUCUUGACAGAGAGUCUAUCUCGAAAGGAAGCUCCCAGUCUACUCAUUCAAAAGGUCCCUUGAAGCUACUAUAUCAUCUGCAUCAAAAAGACAAUGGACAUGAUUCUCUGUGGAGCCCUUCAAUGCUUCUUUUCUGCAGGGAAUAGGAAUAGCUAGAAAGCAACAUGAAGUACUUCCUUCUUUCAGGUGAUCCAGCACUGCCCUGCCCUGCCCUGUAGAAUUCAGGAUCUCAUUUGAAUUCUUUGCUUUGAGCUACUUCCAGGUAACCAGACUGGGCAAAUCAGGACAUCUUCAAUCCAGUCUGCUUUGAGAAGAGUUGAAAAGGGAGGCAAAUAUACAAACCACUGUAAUUUCCCACUGAGGGCUCUACAAAGAAGAGAAAAUGCAUAGGAUUACGAUAGUAAGAAACCUACAGUGUCCAAUGGGAUCUUGCAAACUGCAGUGCAGAAAUCCAAGGUAGCUGUAUGAACCAUGUAUGACACAAUCCUUCAAUAGAAGAACAGGAGUGGCAGCCUGCCCUCUGAAGUUUCUUGCUUUGGUCUCAAACUUAACAUUUGAGAAGGUAUUUGUAUGUGCAGAGUUAUAAGUGUGAAGACCUGAGCCUUGUCUUAUUAUGAUAAGCCAAUUCUGAUGUAAGAGAUUAAUCUUUAAAACUGUGCUGAACAGCUGCAACAGAACUAUGACAUUUUCAUAGGCAAGUUCAUGUCCACAACAAUCCGAAUGCUGCACAUCUGAAUGAAUUGUGACUACGAGUUAGAGGGGGAAACCGUUUAAUAUUUAUACGUAUUUAUCAUGGUCAAGUCCCAAAAUAAAAAUAUUAAAUUUUAAACUGGAGUGAUCUACAGGCAGAGAGAAAACAACAGUCUCUCGCCAAUAUAUUUUAAGAUGGUAAGACUCAUAUAUAACUUUAACAGUAAAACAAAAUCUAGAUGACCCUUCCAAAGAGACCAAGAUCAUCAAUUAACACCUUCAUUUUACCACAAAAUAUACUGAUUUUUCCCUACAGUUUGCUAAGAUGGAAAACAUUUUUACAGUCACCACACUGUAAUGAUUUUACCUACUGUAUAAUGCCAGCCACAACCAUCCUCAUGCUGCAAAUACAGAGAAGAGCUAUGCACAUGAGAGUUCCUAGUAAAAGGCAGAGAACUAAAAAACUGACCAGUGUCACUUUUUUCCAACCUCUUUAGCUCUCGGUGCCCUGGGCAUUUACUCAUUUGAUUUGUUAGCUGGCAAAAAAAAAAUGCCAUGAAAAGAAAUUGCUAUCAGGCUUCCCAGCUCUCUGCAAGGACUCUUAAGGCAGAAAUGAUGCCUGCUGGGAAAAGGCUGAUGUCAGCUCUUAAGAGCUCCCUGCAAGGAUAAGGAGGCCUUUGUUUUCAGCUGAACUGUGAAAAUGAGAAAAUGCCUCCAGCCUGACAAACAAGAAACCCACACAACACAGGUCAGGCCUGAGACCUUUACUUAAAGGUACAACACCUCAUUAGUGUUAUACUUGCAUCACAACAGCCAGAUCCAUUUAAAAUUAAACAGAAGGAACCAUAACAAUAAACCAAUUUUCCCUUAAAAGAUAAUAUAAAGACGGUUACACUUCCCCUGCCACUCCAUGGAAAGGUAUGGCAUUUGCAGGCCCUACAUAAAUCAAUUUCCUAAUUACUCUCUAUAAAAUCACAGGGAUUUAGUAUAAGAAAACAGUGGCACUUUCCACUUUUAGGUUUAAAAUGAUGUAGCUCUUUAAAUUUUAUUAGAAAACAAAGCACCUUUCAAUCCAGCAAGGAUUUUAAUACCCAUAAUAUGUUACAGAAUGCUUUUAGAAGUAACAUAAUAGAGAGAUUUUUAGAGAGUAGAAAGUGUGAAAAAUAAACAAAAAAGAUUCCAAGCUUGUCAUAUUUCAUAGAAAAAGCUGCAAGACACUGGUGGAAGGGAAUCGGUUUUUCCCUUUCACCCCUACUAGUUAAUUUUAGCCAAAGAAGCAUAACAAAGUUUGGAGCUGGCUCCUACAGAGAAGUUAAUAGGUAUGAUUUAUUCCAGAUCAUAAAGCAAGUGGCAGAUAAUGGUCCUAGUACAUCCCAAUACAUUGCAAAGCUGAAAAGAAGGACAGACAUUUCAUUCUGGAAUAUCAUGUACUGAAUUUUAAAUACUCAGCUGGAAGGUCCCAGCCAUGUUUCACUUCCCAUGCAGCAGAAAAUCAGUUCCCCCGAAAACUACAACCUUUGUUAAAUUAAAUCGUUGUCUAGUGUUGGGGGAAAGGGAUUCCAUUACACAUUUUAUAGAACACAGCAGAGUUUCCAGGCUGUUUUGACUCAUUCCCUCUAUCCCAGAUGUUGAAAUAAAUAUACCUGUACAUACCAUUCAAUAAUCAAAAACCUACCUACGGGGUAUUAUUUAGUGCAAAUGGGGAGUUACACCUAAGUAGGGAGAACAUAUCUCCAGACCCAUUCCAAAAGAAUUUGCUGCCAACCUCAAGUUUCUAUCAAACUACUUCUGCAGUCCCCAGGUAUUCAGAUGGAUACAUUCCAUCUGAUGUCAAGUGAUGGGGGAUGCACCAGCACUCCUACUUAGGGCUAACGUCAAACUACGAACAAAAGUUCUACCCUUCAUAAAAUAUAUGGUACUGCUGCAGGUCUAAUCUGAUUCAGUCACAUUCACUGCCACGGUAUACUCCCAUGGCAAGGAUGAAAACAUGCCUACUUCAUGAUUUCAGCAAGCAAGUGACACAGACUGGACAAGGGUUACAAAAACAGACGGCCCAUCUAAAGUACUUUAGAAAUACAUUGUGGUUGAAAUGUCUGCAGUUGAUGCAGGGGGUGUAAUAUGCACCCACUGAACCAUCUGUGCCCAAUGGGAUUCUUCCUUGUAAUGGGUGGCAGUGUGUGUAUCAGCUGUCCUCAUGGGGUUCUGCCAUAGGAGGGUGGCUUUAUAUCUACAGCAUGGGCUCUACACAUAGGCUACCUUGGGGAUGUGUUGAAUUAACGCACCAGGAGUCCUGGCCAUGCCUUCUCCCAGGACAGAGCUGCACACACUUAGACUAGCCAUUUCAAGGAGCCUGCAGGCGCAGCCCAGGUUCCACUGGCAGACGCCUGGGAGUACAUCAGACCAAUUGUCUGUGGUUUAAAUAGGGGUUUAACACCAACUCAGAGCAGUGGAACAAUCUUAUAUAUUUUCUGUGCCACAAAAUAGAUCACUUUCCCGAAUUCCAAAACCUACAUCUUUUUCUUUUAAAUUAGUUCCAAUAGGCCUGAGCAAAACUGAAAUUUUAUAAUCCUCUUCUCUAUCUUCUUGUCUAUGUUUAAUACAAUUAAUCUUGCCAUCCAGUCUUCAAAAGGACAGAGUUUCCAUAUAACAUGAUAUUGGCAGCAACAGCAGCUAAACAUGAAUUAUUUGUUUUUCUAAAUGAAAUGCUGCCAAAUUAUCUUUUCCAGACCCUCCAAGCCAGUAAACUGUUACUGCCAAUAGGAAUCAGUACAACACUUCUUUCCCCUAAUAUACUAUGAUGUCUUUAGUGAUAAAGUAACAAAAACAAGCUUUUACUGCAGAUGCUUAAUUUUUUUUAAGUCAAAACUUUGUCUAAGCCUUUUACAAAGUAUUAUAUAAUGCAUUUAUAUUGCUAACUCAAGAUCAAACAUAAUCAGAGACAAAGAAAGAGGGAAAAUCUGGAAAUCAUUAAAGAAAUUUAACUUUUUUGUUUACAGUGCAAAAUUCAGGGAGUGUUUGUUAAUUUUUUUUAUUAGAGACAUCUGAAAUGUCUGAGUUUUGUGACAUUUGGUUCAAAGAAUUGAGUAUUAUCUGCUAGAAAUCUUUUAGUUUGAAGAUUAAAAACGAAGUGAAAGAGGG
Chelonia mydas (Green sea turtle) is the source of this 20597-nucleotide RNA transcript. It is a transcript of the gene named autophagy related 7, with no coding region annotated. Lineage: Eukaryota; Metazoa; Chordata; Testudines; Cheloniidae. The record is from RefSeq and is a predicted model, not a curated record. The transcript is spliced from 25 exons.